This 750-nucleotide long non-coding RNA is filed under the name Capsella grandiflora. RNAcentral describes it as "long non-coding RNA (CGRA_LNC000176)". The record is from RNAcentral. Lineage: Eukaryota; Viridiplantae; Streptophyta; Magnoliopsida; Brassicales; Brassicaceae.
GUCAGAAACAAUGCCGUCAACCACCGAAAAAUCUCAUCGGAGAGAAGCCCAACCACCGGAAAUUGCAGGUCGACACGGUCAAUUUCCAAGCAAAGGCUUGAAAAAUGGGAAACCCAAGGAAACAGAGAAGCAACCCCGCAGCGAACUGAGCAAAGCUUGAAUCCAUCACAGAUUUCGAAAAGGAGGAGUAGAUCUGAAACAGAUCCUGGCCGGUCGAAGCAGUGUAACGCAAAUGAAAACGUUGGAUCUCCAUCGAAGCUCAAGCUGUCGACUAGCGAAGAGAAUCGAACGGAGGAGCGUCGUCCAUACCACGAGGUGGCCGUCACACGCGGCCGAAACUACUCUCUUUCACCGCGAGCUUCAUGGCACUUUAGAGUCUCGUCGAAUCACAUAAGAGCCAGAACCUGAGCUGAAAAAAGGCCCUCUCACGACGCCGGUCAAAGCCGGCCACCGGAGAGGACAACAAGACAACGGCGAGAGAAGAACUUUAGGUUUUAGGAUUGGAGAGAAAUCGCCGCGCGUGUCGUCACGCGCCCGACUUCGUGAUGUACUUUUUAAGCCAGAAUAUAAUGCCUAUGAAGAUUCAAGAGAUGGACAAGAUAAGACAUGAUCUAGAGAAUAUUAUGCCUAUGAAGAUUCAAGAGAUGAUAAAAGAUCAAUGGAAGCUCACUGGUACAUGUAAUCAAUGUCAAGAAGUAAGAAAAUAGGCAGUAAAAUGGGUGCAUAAAGAAUAUGAAGAUCUUUGUCCAA